RNAcentral lists this long non-coding RNA (824 nucleotides) under Homo sapiens (human). RNAcentral describes it as "HSALNT0359672". The record is from RNAcentral. Lineage: Eukaryota; Metazoa; Chordata; Mammalia; Primates; Hominidae.
GAGUAGCUGGGACUACAGGCGCCCGCCAUUACGCCCGGCUAAUUUUAUUUUAUUUUAUUUUUAGUAGAGACAGGGUUUCACUGUGUUAGCCAGGAUGGUCUGUGUCUCCUGACCUCGUGAUCCACCCGCCUCGGCCUCCCAAAGUGCUGGGAUUACAAAAUGCGUGAGCCACCACGCCCGGCUGAUGGUUUUAUUAAUAUAAGGGACUUUAACCCUUUGCUCAGGACUUCUACUUGCUGCUGCCAUGUGAAGAAGGACAUAUUUGCUUCCCCUUUCACCAUGAUUAAAAGCAAUUUUGUUAAUCACUUUAGCACCAAUUCUUGCAUCCCUGGCAAUACUCAGAACUGCUUCCAUCCAAGUCUUUGAUGUGGGAAAGAAACACACACACACUCUUUCGCAUGUAAUCUGAAAACAAUUCACCUCUUGCCAAUGAAUGCACAGCACUCCACUUUAAUAGAGAGCAAGUUCUGUGGAGGUUUCUAAUCCUUUCUGCCAAAGAAGAGAAGAGAGAGAAUCACUCAGGAUCCCAUCCAGAAUACAUUACCUUUAGUCAUCAUGUCUCCUGUGGCUCUUCUUGGCUGUGACAGUUUCUCAGCUUUCCCAGUUUUAAUGAACUUGCCAUUUUCAUCAGAUUGUACCAAGACCUACUAUCAAUAUGACUUAUGACUAGUGGUGCUGACCUUGAUCACCUGGCUGAGGUAGUUCUUGUCAGGCUUCUCCACUGUCGAGUUGCUCUCCCCAUCCCCCUUUUCCAUAUUGUACUCUUUGAAAGAAAGUCACUAUAUGCAGCCCUUCCUUAAAAAUAUUAAAAUGAACUAGCUUAA